UUCCUGCUCUGUACGAGAGGAACCACAGGUUCAGACGUUUGGUGUCUGUCCUUGGCCGAGGAGCCAAUGGUGCGAAGCUCCCAUCUGUGGGAUUAGAUUCUGACCACCUCUAAAUCAGAAUCCC
This 124-nucleotide non-coding RNA is filed under the name Lepisosteus oculatus (spotted gar). Its description in RNAcentral is "Eukaryotic large subunit ribosomal RNA". It matches the Rfam family "Eukaryotic large subunit ribosomal RNA", at positions 3022 to 3144 of the family's 3401-position model. The record is from Rfam by way of RNAcentral. Lineage: Eukaryota; Metazoa; Chordata; Actinopteri; Semionotiformes; Lepisosteidae.